Non-coding RNA from Poecilia reticulata (guppy), 451 nucleotides. The record is from the annotation of a RefSeq genome assembly. NCBI's taxonomy places the organism in Eukaryota, Metazoa, Chordata, Actinopteri, Cyprinodontiformes, Poeciliidae.
GUGUCCUGCCUCUCUGCUCCAGCUGUUAAGAGGUCAGAGUUGAUCAGUGGCUGUCCAGGCCUUUCAGAGCCACUGACACACCAGCAGCACAAUGAUGAUGUCACUGACUCUACUGCUGACCAUCCUGGGGCUCCUGGUUCAGGGUUCCGUGGCUGAAAUCAUCCUGACUCAGACUCCAGGAUCUCAGUCUGUUACUCUGGGACAGACUGUCUCCAUCAGAUGUAAAGCCAGUUCCAGUAUUUCAAAUGAUUUACAGUGGUACAUUCAAAAACCCGGAGAAGCACCUAAGAUCCUAAUUUAUGAUGCCAAUUCACGCUGGUCUGGAGUUCCUGAUCGUUUCAGUGGGAGUCAGUCUGGAACUGAUUUCACUCUGACCAUCAGCAGAGUUCAGGCUGAAGAUGCAGGAGUUUAUUACUGUCAGCAGGAUUGGAGCUUUCCGUUCACACAGUGA